CUUCAUGCCUAUAGCUGGGUUCUGGAAGCAAGCUUUAGUGCUUGGAAUUAAUGAGAUGCCUGGGGUUGAAUGACAUCAAGGUAUGCAUGCAGUAAGAAGACAGAGUGCUAUGAAGAAAGCUGAAGAAGCACUUUCCUCUAAAGUGAUGCUCACACAGAAUAAAUGAGUAAUAAUUUAGUUCACAGAACUGCAAAUGGCAACCUCCAG
RNAcentral lists this long non-coding RNA (207 nucleotides) under Homo sapiens (human). Its description in RNAcentral is "HSALNT0359456". The record is from RNAcentral. Lineage: Eukaryota; Metazoa; Chordata; Mammalia; Primates; Hominidae.